CGGACGGCACCAUAGACCCUACCCUACAAAAUCGAGGACAUGAACCUACCCAAGCCGACAAAUCCACAGGACAAAAACUUAGCCAACACAACUGGGUAACAUCAUUUCCACCUGCGCUCCGUCCCACCGCCAUCGGAGAUCGGCCAUGGCCGCUUCCUCCGCCGGCACCCCACCGCCGGAUGACAUUUCAUCCUCUCGCCCUACACCAUUCGUUUUCUCUUCCGAUUCCCCUACGAGAAUCUCUCUCACUCCCGAUCAGCGUAAGUACUGCUCUGAGGCUCUCCAAUUGUUCAGAGAGAAGCUCCGUACUCCCGAGCAAAUCAUUCAAGAGUUCGCUCAUUUGCAGGCUAUUAGGAUAACGCCAUCUCAGAUGGCUAGAAACUGCACAGUGGCUUUUGACAGUGUCAACAAGAGCAAAAACCGUUAUACGGAUGUGGUACCUUUUGACCAAAAUAGGGUUAUUCUUAAUCCAUGCAAGGAUUAUAGACCAUCUGCUAAGGGAUAUAUAAAUGCGAGCUUCAUCACGACUUCUUCAUCUGAAAGCAUUUCUCGGUUUAUAGCCACGCAGGGUCCAGUGCCACACACCUUUGAGGAUUUUUGGGAGAUGGUAAUCCAGUAUCAUUGCCCGGUAAUUGUGAUGCUUACUCGGCUAGUUGACAAUUACAAGAUUGUAAAAUGUGGAGAUUAUUUUCAAGCAGAAGAUGGUCCUAGAGAUUUUGGAAAUAUGUGUCUAGUUACUAAAUGGAUGAGAAGUACUGACACUUCAUUAGUGUUGCGCCACUUGGAGGUGGGAUAUAAAGAGUCAGAGGAGCCACCCAUGUCUGUUUUGCAUGUUCAGUACACUGAAUGGCCUGAUCAUGGAGUUCCCAAGGACACACUUACCGUUCGCGAAAUCUUAAAAAGAACAUACCAAGUGCCAUCGAAUCUGGGCCCAGUAGUUGUCCACUGCAGUGCAGGUAUUGGUAGAACUGGAACCUACUGCACUAUUCACAACACAAUUCAGAGAAUCCUUGUUGGAGACAUGUCUGCUUUAGAUCUUGCUAAUACCAUAACCAUUUUUAGGUCCCAGCGAGUGGGGAUGGUUCAAACCAUGGUAUAUCUUUUUUUACAUUUUCUUAAAACUUCGUUUUUCUUAAUUCAUUUACUGUAUAUGUGUGUGUGUGUGUAGUUUUGAUCUGAUCUAUUCAUUUACUUGGGUUUCUAAAAAUUCUGAAUGCCAAUUUGAACUUGCUGACCUAUUGGCAUGCUUUGAGUCCCUAAUACCAUAAAAAGCAUAAAUGCAUGACGAUGAAAGUAUGGUUUUAUUGCUGAAGAUAUAGUUGACAAAUUUUUGGAGAAUUACCUAGUAAUGAAGUCUGAAGUGAUGUUACAUUGACUCCCUGAACAAAUCCCUGGAAAAAAAAGGUAAAAAUUGAAAAGAUUAUUUUGCAUUAUUUGUCUGGAUUCAGUGAGAAAUGCAUUUAACAAAUUCAAUCAAAUAACCUAUUUGAGUCUUGAAAAUGACCUUCUCAGCAGCUAAUUUUAAUUGGCAAGAAAAGGGGAAAAAGAUCACAGUAAAUAUUUCAGAGUUACUAAAAUUCAUUUUAUGUUUAACUUUUUAUGACCUAAUAUCAUGUUUUUCCACCAUGCAGUUUCUCUGUAUCUUUUCAUGGGUUCCCUCACCCCUCUUUUUCCCAAACCCUAACCCUUUCCCCUUUCAUUUUUCUUUUUGGGUUUUGGGGAUGAUGGGAGGCAUUAUUUGAUUCUUUGAUGUUACUGGAUAGAGAAAUGAGGGCACUAAAAUUUUCAGUUUCAUUUUUCAAGUACCGGUGCCCCUAUUGUUUAUUUACCCCUAAGUCUAUUGCUUAUUUGAUUAAAAUUCACCGUCUGCAGGAGCAAUAUUUUUUCUGCUAUAAAGCUAUCGUUGAUGAACUAGAAGACCUCAUCUCAGAAUGCAAUAGUUGAAGGACCUCAAAAAUGCAACCAGGUUAGCAAGCGGCAUGUGGUGUUGAAAAAUGAUGGAUUAAAUGCGACAGCUGCUUGCUCACUUCUUAUAAUCAGGGCUGGACAAAUGCAAAAUGAUGAUGAUUCAAUGUUUUUGUCGCACUCCUACAGCAGCUAGAUGCUUGGUUAAAUGACCAAUUCUGUAUUCUUGAAACCUCUGCUUUAGUCCCUGUUAAUAGGAUGAUGCAAAUCAUCUAUAAAUGAAUAGAAUUGUAGUCCCUGCAGGAUUACUUCCUCAUGUUUUCCAGAUUGGAUAUGCUAAAUCAAGCAGCGUUGGGCUUGUGAGGCUAAUGCUCCAGGUUGAUUUUUCCCAUAAAAUGUCAACUUUUGAAUUGCCCAGUUCUCAAUUCUAUUAAUUGUGAGAUUGUUAAUGUUGGGAUCAGAAAGUCUCAGUAAGAUUGCUUGAGGUUUGAUCUAAUAUAUAUUUUUGUAAUUCCAAUUUUAGAAUUAAAAAUUUAUUACAUAUCUAUCUAUCUAUACAAAGUAGGCAAAGUUUUCUUGGUGUUUUCAGAGGGACAAAUUUUCUCUUGGUAUUGUCACGUCACUUACUAUACAGAGAUUAUUAUGUUUUAUAAUUAUAGUAAUU
This 2569-nucleotide unclassified non-coding RNA is filed under the name Hevea brasiliensis (rubber tree). The record is from RNAcentral. Lineage: Eukaryota; Viridiplantae; Streptophyta; Magnoliopsida; Malpighiales; Euphorbiaceae.